AUUGAACGCUGGCGGCAUGCCUUACACAUGCAAGUCGAACGGCAGCACGGGUGCUUGCACCUGGUGGCGAGUGGCGAACGGGUGAGUAAUACAUCGGAACGUACCUUAUCGUGGGGGAUAACGCAGCGAAAGUUGCGCUAAUACCGCAUACGCCCUGAGGGGGAAAGCGGGGGACCGUAAGGCCUCGCGCGAUUAGAGCGGCCGAUGUCUGAUUAGCUUGUUGGUGAGGUAAAAGCUCACCAAGGCGAUGAUCAGUAGCUGGUCUGAGAGGACGAUCCGGCACACUGGGAGUGAGACACGGCCCAGACUCCUACGGGAGGCAGCAGUGGGGAAUUUUGGACAAUGGGGGCAACCCUGAUCCAGCAAUGCCGCGUGAGUGAAGAAGGCCUUCGGGUUGUAAAGCUCUUUUGUCAGGGAAGAAACAGCAGCUCUAACACAGUCUGCGAAUGACGGUACCUGAAGAAUAAGCACCGGCUAACUACGUGCCAGCCGCCGCGGUAA
RNAcentral lists this ribosomal RNA (501 nucleotides) under uncultured bacterium. RNAcentral describes it as "partial 16S ribosomal RNA". It matches the Rfam family "Bacterial small subunit ribosomal RNA", at positions 30 to 523 of the family's 1533-position model. The record is from RNAcentral.